This 494-nucleotide ribosomal RNA is filed under the name uncultured bacterium. Its description in RNAcentral is "partial 16S ribosomal RNA". It matches the Rfam family "Bacterial small subunit ribosomal RNA", at positions 28 to 507 of the family's 1533-position model. The record is from RNAcentral.
GACGAACGCUGGCGGCGUGCUUAACACAUGCAAGUCGAACGGUGAAGCGCCUUCCUUUUUGGUGGGUGUGGAUGAGUGGCGAACGGGUGAGUAACACGUGAGUAACCUGCCCCCUUCUUCUGGAUAACCGCAUGAAAGUGUGGCUAAUACGGGAUAUUCUGGGUCUGUCGCAUGAUGGGUCUGGGAAAGAUAUUGUUUCGGUGGGGGAUGGGCUCGCGGCCUAUCAGCUUGUUGGUGGGGUGAUGGCCUACCAAGGCGGUGACGGGUAGCCGGCCUGAGAGGGUGGACGGUCACACUGGGACUGAGACACGGCCCAGACUCCUACGGGAGGCAACAGUGGGGAAUAUUGCACAAUGGGCGCAAGCCUGAUGCAGCAACGCCGCGUGAGGGAUGGAGGCCUUCGGGUUGUGAACCUCUUUCGCCAGUGAAGCAGGCCUGCCUCGUUUGUGGGUGGGUUGACGGUAGCUGGAUAAGAAGCGCCGGCUAACUACGUG